AAGGAUCAUUUCUGAAGGCUUUUUGCCAAAACCACUGUGAACAGCUUAGACUUCGGUCUUUGCAAUUGCUUGGGUGUCGAAAGGCGCCCAAUCUUUAAAACUUUUAUAUUUGUUCUGAAACAAUGAAAAUUUAAAACUUUCAACAACGGAUCUCUUGGUUCUCGUAUCGAUGAAGAACGCAGCAAAGCGCGAUAGGUAAUGCGAAUUGCAGACGUGAGUCAUUGAAUUUUUGAACGCAUAUUGCGCUAUUAGUUUGUCUAAUAGCAUGCUUGUUGGAGUGAUAAUCUUCCUCUCAACCAUUUUUGGUAUGAGGUCUUGCUCCUUUUAGGAGUUAAAAUCAUGGAAGUGCACACGUUAAUUAACUCUGUGCAGUUAUACACUUUUCAUCCUCCAAUCAAGCAAGGUUACCCGCUGAACUUAA
This 421-nucleotide ribosomal RNA is filed under the name Starmerella bacillaris. RNAcentral describes it as "eukaryotic LSU rRNA". The stretch from base 135 to 283 matches the Rfam family "5.8S ribosomal RNA". The record is from RNAcentral. Lineage: Eukaryota; Fungi; Ascomycota; Dipodascomycetes; Dipodascales; Trichomonascaceae.